GUGACUCCUGACUCCCCUGCUUCCCUUGCCCUGUGACUUGGCUCUGAGGAGUUGGGAGGUGACAGCAUGUGUUCCUUUCGAAGUCAUUCUGAACAGAACUCCAUAUGAUAUGCCUUGGUUUGGAUGGUUAAUGAGUCCCCUGGAGGCCAGUUUUUCAGCAGUCUUUCUCCUAGACAAAUACACGGGGAUGUGUGCUGACGGCUUACAGAAUCACAGAAGGUACCACCAAAGACCAUCUAGUCCAAUCCCCCAAACAGGGUCAUCUAGAACAGGUCGCUUAGAACAUGACCCCUUAGCUCUCAGAUGACUCAUCAUGCUGCCCUGAACACAGCUCCCAGUCCCACAUCUACUACCGAAGCACAUCAUCUGUUCUGUAGUUGAAGAUCUGCAGGUGGAUCACGAGCCUUCCUUGUGGUACCAGAAGUCAGCGGCUUCCAGCCUUUUACCAUCAUGGGAGUCUCCUUUUCCAGCCCAAUGACUACAGACUCUGAAUGCUCCAUCCUUCAGUGCAGUUCAGCAUUCGGGCUGUUGUAUCUGCAGGCUCUUGAAGAAGGUCCUAUCACUCUUUUUCUUCCUCUCUGAUGCUGCACAGACAGCUCACCUUCUGCCACAACUCCUCAACAAGCAUACACCUCCUGGAGAUAAGAAGAUCAUCUUCCUUGCUCCAGCCUCAGUGAGGCUUGGCUUCUGAGAGCAUUAUGUUUGCAGACUCCUGUGCAAAAAUGCUGGUGACUGAUAAAUCUGAGCUGAAGUUUGAUGGUGAAAAAAGCAGUCCCACCAGAACUGUCUCAAGGGGCUUCUUGGCUACAUAUGGACUCAGUCUUGGCUGGGGUGUGCUGAAGUAACUCAACGGCUCAUUUAGCCUGUUUCAGAGAUACGGCAACUGAAGGAGCAAUUAAAUUCUUUACUGCCCAGUGACUGAAUGAAAACUACUACAUACAGGCUAGGCUGGGUGAAUGUACGGGAGCUGAGGACUGAGCGAGGAGGGAGAGAGGCAGAAAAAACUAUCAGAAAAUGGAACUUGGCUGGGAAGAGAAGUGGAGUACAGGGAAGGAAGAAUCCUGGAAAUAAUGAGAGGAGAAUGCCAACAGUACUCUGAGUGGAGAAGCAGGCUUGGAAUUAGCAAACAAACUGCUUUUUCUCUGAACUGCACUUCUAAGAAAUAAGAUGUUGAGAUACACUCUUUGUAAAUAGAUUAACACCCAAGAAAAUCUGGCUUAGGCGAUUGCUUGCUGUUGCUAUUACAACAGCCUGAAAAACUAUGAAGACCUCUCUACUAAGAAAGUCAAUAAUAUCGUAUUGGGAAAAGCUUCCAGUCAGCCAGGGCUUAAUGUAACAUGGCAUGUGUAAGAUUUCAGAGCUUGAUGCCAUCUGCUCACAGAGAGCAUCAGAUCACUGGAAAGAUGUCAACAAAUAGGCUUGAGAAGCUUGUGAAAAUGAAGAGGGAAAUAGCAAGCUCCAGGGUGUAGGAAAAUGAUGAUUUUCUUUGUGGCUGUUGCAUUCAUGAGAUUGGUUAGUCUGUGUUUUUUAAUCCGCUUGCUACCGUCCUAGGGGAAAUGCCUGCAAAAGGAGAGAUAUGAGUCCUUGAGUUGAACUGAGAGAAAUAUGGCAAUAAGACUAGCAAAUGAAUCAGAAAAAAAAAAAAGAAAAAGAAAACAAAAAACCCACCACCACCACCAAAAAAAACAGCAACCUUUCAUACGUUAUUUGGAGACAUUACUUGGGAACCCCCAGAGAAUUAGUGUUGGUGGGUUACUGGGAAAAAAAGAGAAGUAGCUAGCAGACAUUAUAGCUAGCAGCUAUAAGGUCUUUUUAAUGCAACUCUCAGUACAAUCUAUGAGGUACCCAGAUUUUAUUUUAUUUUUUUAAAUGUGAAAUUUAAACCUCAGAUGGUAAAGCUAAUAGGAAUAAUCUUUGCUCAAGAGUCAAGAUAAUUGUACUGUGAAAAAUGCUUUUGGUAUAACAUUAAUUUUGACCUUUCCAUGAAGUGUGACAUAAACACGUUUAAAAUGGAUAUUCAUGCCAACACCAUUUCCAUUACCAACUAAAAAGAUUUGGGUGUUAUGCUACAGUUAAGAAGUUUGAAAUAAACAAUCUCUCUUGUGGUGCUGUUUCAAUGCUGUAAUGGAGGUGCUUACCACAGACUGAACAGGUUUAUCUUUUCUUCCUUCUGUGUAGAAAGUAAAACUUCACUGUUUUUCAACAACUGAUGCUCGAAUACAUACAAAAUACUUCAUGUGUAUGCAGGCUGUGUGUCACAAUGUUUAGCUACUUUAAAUUGUUGCUCACUAAAAAUGAUUUUUUUUUUUUUCCCUGAACCUCUGUCCUACUUUUACCUGUGAGAGGUGAAGAAUACAAUAUUAAUGAUAAUAAAGAUUAUUAACAUAAAUCAGCUUCAGGAUGCUGGCUUAUUUUUCCCACCAACUACUUGAAGGGUAGUUCCAGGACUGAUGGAACUAAAUUGUUCAGGCAGUGCCAGACAACAUAAAAAUGCGCGAUGGCCAAAGGCAACAUAACAGUGGCCACAGACUGAGGACUGUGAGAUUCAGAGAAAAAUGAUGUCAGGA
Long non-coding RNA from Cygnus olor (mute swan), 2567 nucleotides. RefSeq lists it as uncharacterized. The transcript has 4 exons. Lineage: Eukaryota; Metazoa; Chordata; Aves; Anseriformes; Anatidae. The record is from RefSeq and is a predicted model, not a curated record.